Oncorhynchus keta (chum salmon) is the source of this 2304-nucleotide long non-coding RNA. RefSeq lists it as uncharacterized. The record is from RefSeq and is a predicted model, not a curated record. Lineage: Eukaryota; Metazoa; Chordata; Actinopteri; Salmoniformes; Salmonidae. The transcript has 5 exons.
UGAGAAGGUUGUAUGAAUGUUAGGAGAUGGUUGAAUGAAUGUUCAGUGAUGGUUGUAUGGAUGUUAUGAGGGGCCUCCCGAGUGGUGGUCUCAGGCUGUGCCACUAGAGAUCCUGGUUUGAGUCCAGGCUCUAUCGCAGCGACCGGGAGACCCUUGAGACGGCGCACAAUUGGCCCAGGUCGUCCAGGUUAGGGGAGGGAGUGCUCUUGUCCCAUUCCACACUAGCUACUCCUGUGGUGUACUCGCCAGGUGUACGGUGUUUGCUCCCACACAUUGGUGUGGCUGGCUUCCGGCUUGCGGGCAUUGUGUCAAGAAGCAGUGCGGCUUGGCUGGGUUGUAUUUGGAGGACGCACGGCUCUCGACCUUCGACCUCGAGUCCGUAAGGGAGUUGCAGCGAUGGGACAAGACUGUAACUAUCAGUUGGAUACCACGAAAUUGGGGAGAAAAAGGGGUAAAAAUUAAAAGUAAAUUAUGUUCUGUGAUGGUUGUAUGAAUGUUCUGUGAUGGUUGUGUGAAUGUUCUGUGAUGGUUGUAUGAAUGUUCUGUGAUGGUUGUAUGAAUGUUCUGUGAUGGUUGUAUGAAUGUUCUGUGAUGGUUGUAUGAAUGUUCUGUGAUGGUUGUAUGAAUGUUCUGUGAUGGUUGUAUGAAUGUUCUGUGAUGGUUGUAUGAAUGUUCUGUGAUGGUUGUAUGAAUGUUCUGUGAUGGUUGUAUGAAUGUUCUGUGAUGGUUGUGUGGAGGUUCUGUGAUGGUUGUAUGAAUGUUCUGUGAUGGUUGUAUGAAUGUUCUGUGAUGGUUGUAUGAAUGUUCUGUGAUGGUUGUGUGGAGGUUCUGUGAUGGUUGUAUGAAUGUUCUGUGAUGGUUGUAUGAAUGUUCUGUGAUGGUUGUGUGAAUGUUCUGUGAUGGUUGUGUGAAUGUUCUGUGAUGGUUGUAUGAAUGUUCUGUGAUGGUUGUAUGAAUGUUCUGUGAUGGUUGUAUGAAUGUUCUGUGAUGGUUGUGUGAAUGUUCUGUGAUGGUUGUAUGAAUGUUCUGUGAUGGUUGUAUGAAUGUUCUGUGAUGGUUGUAUGAAUGUUCUGUGAUGGUUGUAUGAAUGUUCUGUGAUGGUUGUGUGAAUGUUCUGUGAUGGUUGUAUGAAUGUUCUGUGAUGGUUGUAUGAAUGUUCUGUGAUGGUUGUAUGAAUGUUCUGUGAUGGUUGUAUGAAUGUUCUGUGAUGGUUGUAUGAAUGUUCUGUGAUGGUUGUGUGAAUGUUCUGUGAUGGUUGUAUGAAUGUUCUGUGAUGGUUGUGUGGAGGUUCCUCCCAAUACAUUGAGGUUGACAGGUCUUCUCAGUGUUCUCUGACCCUGAGGUAGUGUUAGGGGUCGGGGUUAGGUAGGGUUAGGGGUCGGGGUUAGGUAGGGUUACUGAGGUAGUGUUAGGGGUCGGGGUUAGGUAGGGUUACUGAGGUAGUGUUAGGGGUCAGGGUUAGGUAGGGUUACUGAGGUAGUGUUAGGGGUCGGGGUUAGGUAGGGUUACUGAGGUAGGGUUAGGGGUCAGGGUUAGGUAGGGUUACUGAGGUAGUGUUAGGGGUCAGGGUUAGGUAGGGUUAGUGAGGUAGGGUUAGGGGUCAGGGUUAGGUAGGGUUAGUGAGAUGGGGUCAGGGUUAGGUAGGGUUAGGGGUCGGGGUUAGGUAGGGUUACUGAGGUAGGGUUAGGGGUCAGGGUUAGGUAGGGUUACUGAGGUAGUGAUAGGGGUCAGGGUUAGGUAGGGUUAGUGAGAUGGGGUCAGGGUUAGGUAGGGUUAGGGGUCGGGGUUAGGUAGGGUUACUGAGGUAGGGUUAGGGGUCAGGGUUAGGUAGGGUUAGUGAGGUAGGGUUAGGGGUCAGGGUUAGGUAGGGUUAGUGAGAUGGGGUCAGGGUUAGGUAGGGUUAGGGGUCGGGGUUAGGUAGGGUUACUGAGGUAGGGUUAGGGGUCAGGGUUAGGUAGGGUUACUGAGGUAGUGUUAGGGGUCAGGGUUAGGUAGGGUUAGUGAGGUAGGGUUAGGGGUCAGGAUUAGGUAGGGUUAGUGAGGUGGGGUCAGGGUUAGGGGUCGGGGUUAGGUAGGGUUACUGAGGUAGGGUUGGGGGUCAGGGUUAGGUAGGGUUACUGAGGUAGGGUUACGGGUCAGGGUUAGGUAGGGUUAGUGAAGUAGGGUUAGGGGUCUGGGUUGUUUGUUUGGUAGGGUUAGUUUGAUAGACAGGUGUCAGAUUUAGUGUCUGAGCCUGAACCAACUGACCUCUAAACUCUAACCUCUGACCUGGAAGUCUUAUGAAUAGCUCUCUGGCAUUGCUGU